UACGUAGGUGGCGAGCGUUGUCCGGAUUUACUGGGCGUAAAGGGCUUGUAGGCGGUCCGUUAAGUCCGAUGUGAAAUCUCCCGGCUCAACUGGGAGAGGUCAUUGGAUACUGGCGGACUAGAGGGGGGUAGAGGAAAGCAGAAUUCCUGGUGUAGCGGUGAAAUGCGUAGAUAUCAGGAGGAAUACCAGUGGCGAAGGCGGCUUUCUGGGCCUACCCUGACGCUGAGACGCGAAAGCGUGGGGAGCGAACCGG
This 253-nucleotide ribosomal RNA is filed under the name uncultured bacterium. RNAcentral describes it as "partial 16S ribosomal RNA". It matches the Rfam family "Bacterial small subunit ribosomal RNA", at positions 524 to 776 of the family's 1533-position model. The record is from RNAcentral.